Molecule: ribosomal RNA, 400 nt
Filed under: uncultured bacterium
Lineage: Bacteria
Description: bacterial SSU rRNA
Rfam family: Bacterial small subunit ribosomal RNA
Source: RNAcentral
UAUUGCACAAUGGGGGAAACCCUGAUGCAGCAACGCCGCGUGAAGGAAGACGGUCUUCGGACUGUAAACUUCUAUCAAUAGGGAAGAAAGAAAUGACGGUACCUAAAUAAGAAGCCCCGGCUAACUACGUGCCAGCAGCCGCGGUAAUACGUAGGGGGCAAGCGUUAUCCGGAUUUACUGGGUGUAAAGGGGGCGCAGACGGCAGCGCAAGCCAGGAGUGAAAGCCCGGGGCCCAACCCCGGGACUGCUCUUGGAACUGCGCGGCUGGAGUGCAGGAGGGGCAGGCGGAAUUCCUGGUGUAGCGGUGAAAUGCGUAGAUAUCAGGAGGAACACCGGUGGCGAAGGCGGCCUGCUGGACUGCGACUGACGUUGAGGCCCGAAAGCGUGGGGAGCAAACAGG